Molecule: non-coding RNA, 73 nt
Organism: Danionella cerebrum
Lineage: Eukaryota; Metazoa; Chordata; Actinopteri; Cypriniformes; Danionidae
Source: the annotation of a GenBank genome assembly
UCUUUCCUGUUGCUCAGUUGGUAGAGCAUUGUGCUAACAAUGCAAAGGUCGUGGGUUCAAUCCAGGGAAAGCA